UCCGGUUGAUCCUGCCGGACCCGACUGCUAUCGGGGUGGCGCUAAGCCAUGGGAGUCGCACAUCCCACCGCCGUGGGGUGUGGCGAACGGCCGAGUAACACGUGGCUAACCUACCCUCGGGACGGGGACAACUCCGGGAAACUGGAGCUUAUCCCCGAUAGGCGGGGAGUCCUGGAACGGUUCUCCGCCCAAAGGGAUGGGAGGGGGUUAUCGCCUUCUAUCCGCCCGAGGAUGGGGCUGCGUCCCAUCAGGUUGUUGGCGGGGUAACGGCCCGCCAAGCCUAUAACGGGUAGGGGCCGUGAGAGCGGGAGCCCCCAGAUGGGCACUGAGACAAGGGCCCAGGCCCUACGGGGCGCACCAGGCGGGAAACCUCCGCAAUGCGGUAACCCGUGACGGGGUCACCCCGAGUGCUCCCCUUAUGGGGAGCUUUUCCCCGCUGCAGGAAGGCGGGGGUAAUAAGUGGGGGGCAAGACUGGUGUCAGCCGCCGCGGUAAUACCAGCCCCACGAGUGGUCGGGACGGUUAUUGGGCCUAAAGCGCCCGUAGCCGGCCCAGCAAGUUCCUGCCUAAAUCACCGGGCUCAACCCGGUGACUGGUGGGAAUACUGCUGGGCUAGGAGGCGGGAGAGGCCGGGGGUACUCCUAGGGUAGGGGCGAAAUCCUAUAAUCCUAGGAGGACCACCAGUGGCGAAGGCGCCCGGCUGGAACGCGCUCGACGGUGAGGGGCGAAAGCUGGGGGAGCAAACCGGAUUAGAUACCCGGGUAGUCCCAGCUGUAAACGAUGCGGACUAGGUGUUGGACGGACCUAGGGUCCGUCCAGUGCCGCAGGGAAGCCGUUAAGUCCGCCGCCUGGGGAGUACGGCCGCAAGGCUGAAACUUAAAGGAAUUGGCGGGGGAGCACCACAAGGGGUGGAGCCUGCGGCUUAAUUGGAGUCAACGCCGGG
Molecule: ribosomal RNA, 942 nt
Filed under: uncultured archaeon
Lineage: Archaea
Description: bacterial SSU rRNA
Rfam family: Archaeal small subunit ribosomal RNA
Source: RNAcentral